CCCUUAGAUGUUCUGGGCCGCACGCGCGCUACACUGAUGCAUUCAACAAGCCUAGCCUUGACCGAGAGGUCCGGGUAAUCUUUGAAACUGCAUCGUGAUGGGGCUAGAUUAUUGCAAUUAUUAAUCUUCAACGAGGAAUGCCUAGUAAGCGUGAUUCAUCAAAUCGCGUUGAUUACGUCCCUGCCCUUUGUACACACCGCCCGUCGCUCCUACCGAUUGAAUGUGUUGGUGAGGAGCUCGGAUUGGCAGCAGUUGGUGGUUCGCCACCGGCUAUUGCUGAGAAGUCCUCCAAACCGCCUCAUUUAGAGGAAGGAGAAGUCGUAACA
This 326-nucleotide ribosomal RNA is filed under the name uncultured eukaryote. RNAcentral's name for it is "partial 18S ribosomal RNA". It matches the Rfam family "Eukaryotic small subunit ribosomal RNA", at positions 1470 to 1796 of the family's 1831-position model. The record is from RNAcentral.